This 319-nucleotide ribosomal RNA is filed under the name uncultured bacterium. Its description in RNAcentral is "partial 16S ribosomal RNA". The record is from RNAcentral.
CCUACUCCCGUUGUGUGCCUUGCCCUACCACGACUGCUACGUUAGGUAGGAGGUAGGUGUAGUAUAUACUCNCGUGUAGUUGUACCGUUACUAACGAGAACGCCGACGUACGUAAACUACGCGACAGCACGCCGUACGGUAACUACGGUGGUGACGAAGUCGUUACGACGUUAAUUGUGGGUACGAACGCGCGCGUAGGUAACGUAAAUAGUCUGAUGAGACCGCCCGUCUACGGACGGGACGGGUCAUUGGAAACUGUUUUACUUGAGUACAGAAGAGGAGAGUGGAAUUCCCAUGUGUAGCGGUGAAAUGCGCAGAG